RNAcentral lists this ribosomal RNA (226 nucleotides) under uncultured bacterium. Its description in RNAcentral is "partial 16S ribosomal RNA". It matches the Rfam family "Bacterial small subunit ribosomal RNA", at positions 538 to 763 of the family's 1533-position model. The record is from RNAcentral.
GCGUUGUCCGGAAUUAUUGGGCGUAAAGAGCUCGUAGGCGGUUCGUCACGUCGGCUGUGAAAACCCGGGGCUCAACUCCGGGCCUGCAGUCGAUACGGGCGAACUAGAGUACUUCAGGGGAGACUGGAAUUCCUGGUGUAGCGGUGAAAUGCGCAGAUAUCAGGAGGAACACCGGUGGCGAAGGCGGGUCUCUGGGAAGUAACUGACGCUGAGGAGCGAAAGCGUG